This 530-nucleotide ribosomal RNA is filed under the name Lycocerus sp. UPOL RK0176. Its description in RNAcentral is "partial 16S ribosomal RNA". It matches the Rfam family "Archaeal large subunit ribosomal RNA", at positions 1908 to 2679 of the family's 2987-position model. Lineage: Eukaryota; Metazoa; Arthropoda; Insecta; Coleoptera; Cantharidae. The record is from RNAcentral.
CAUGUCUUUUUGAUAAAAAUAUAAAGUCUAGUCUGCUCAAUGAAUAAAAAUUUAAAUAGCUGCAGUAUUUUGACUGUACAAAGGUAGCAUAAUAAAUAGUUUUUUAAUUGAAAGCUGGAAUGAAGGAUUGGACGAGAAAAUUACUGUCUCAAUUUUAAUAUUAUUGAAUUUAACUUUUUAGUUAAAAGGCUAAAAUUUUUUUAAAAGACGAGAAGACCCUAUAGAGUUUUAUAAUUAAUAUUUUUUAAUUUUGUUAGAAUAAUAAGGGUUUAAAUUAAUAUUGAUUAUUUGGUUGGGGUGAUUGGAAAACUUAAAAAACUUUUCUAUUUAAAAAUUAUUUAUAUAUAAAUUUAUUUUCUAUAAAUUUUUAAAUUUAAAAUAAAUUACCUUAGGGAUAACAGCGUAAUAUAUUUUUAAAGUUCUUAUUUAAAAAUUUGUUUGCGACCUCGAUGUUGGAUUAAAAUUAAUUAUUGGUGCAGAAGCUAAUAAAUUGAGUCUGUUCGACUUUUAAAAUUUUACAUGAUCUGAGU